ACUUUCAAGGAAGAAGCAAUAACUUCACCAUCAGCACCCAAAGCUGAUUUUCUUUUUAAACUAUUCC
This 67-nucleotide transfer RNA is filed under the name Paradoxurus hermaphroditus (Asian palm civet). Its description in RNAcentral is "tRNA-Pro". The record is from RNAcentral. Lineage: Eukaryota; Metazoa; Chordata; Mammalia; Carnivora; Viverridae.